GACGAACGCUGGCGGCGUGCCUAAUACAUGCAAGUAGAACGCUGAAGGAGGAGCUUGCUUCUCUGGAUGAGUUGCGAACGGGUGAGUAACGCGUAGGUAACCUGCCUGGUAGCGGGGGAUAACUAUUGGAAACGAUAGCUAAUACCGCAUAAGAGUAGAUGUCGCAUGACAUUUGCUUAAAAGGUGCAAUUGCAUCACUACCAGAUGGACCUGCGUUGUAUUAGCUAGUUGGUGAGGUAACGGCUCACCAAGGCAACGAUACAUAGCCGACCUGGGAGGGUGAUCGGCCACACUGGAACUGAGAAACGGCCCAGACUCCUACGGGAGGCAGCAGUAGGGAAUCUUCGGCAAUGGACGGAAGUGUGACCGAGCAACGCCGGGUGAGGGAAGAAGGUUUUCGGAUCGUAAAGCUCUGUUGUAAGAGAAGAACGAGUGUGAGAGUGGAAAGUUCACACUGUGACGGUAUCUUACCAGAAAGGGACGGCUAACUACG
This 493-nucleotide ribosomal RNA is filed under the name uncultured bacterium. RNAcentral's name for it is "partial 16S ribosomal RNA". It matches the Rfam family "Bacterial small subunit ribosomal RNA", at positions 28 to 505 of the family's 1533-position model. The record is from RNAcentral.